RNAcentral lists this ribosomal RNA (301 nucleotides) under uncultured bacterium. Its description in RNAcentral is "partial 16S ribosomal RNA". It matches the Rfam family "Bacterial small subunit ribosomal RNA", at positions 509 to 807 of the family's 1533-position model. The record is from RNAcentral.
CAGCAGCCGCGGUAAUACAGAGGGUGCAAGCGUUAAUCGGAAUUACUGGGCGUAAAGCGCGCGUAGGUGGUUCGCCAAGUUGGAUGUGAAAUCCCCGGGCUCAACCUGGGAACUGCAUCCAAAACUGGCGAGCUAGAGUAUGGUAGAGGGUGGUGGAAUUUCCUGUGUAGCGGUGAAAUGCGUAGAUAUAGGAAGGAACAUCAGUGGCGAAGGCGACCACCUGGACUGAUACUGACACUGAGGUGCGAAAGCGUGGGGAGCAAACAGGAUUAGAGACCCGAGUAGUCCCUGUCUCUUCUAC